RNAcentral lists this long non-coding RNA (1234 nucleotides) under Mus musculus (house mouse). RNAcentral describes it as "long non-coding RNA chr13:3562384-3563618". The record is from RNAcentral. Lineage: Eukaryota; Metazoa; Chordata; Mammalia; Rodentia; Muridae.
ACUUAACUUACUUCAUCUGAAAUUUCAACUCCAAUUUUGAUUUAAGCAGUGCUUUUUUUCAAUACAAGGUUUGUGUAUUUUGUCUAGAAGCACCACAUCUCAGAUUUCAGUCAAAUGUGGUUUUCAAUGGGUUUAUUUUUUCCUUCCACAUAGAAACUAAACCUUGUAACAUUUUUACUAAACUAUUUUUUUAAAAUGACUCUCAAGGGCUGGAGAGAUGGCUCCCUGGUUAAGAGCACUGAGUACUCUUCCAGAGGCCCUGAGCUCAAUUCCCAGCAACCACACUGUGGCUCAUAAACCAUCUGUAUUGGGAUAUGAUGGCAAAAAAAAAAAAAAAAAAAAAAAGACUCGCAAGCAGUUUCAGACCUGUAAAAACUUAAAAAUUUCAACAUUUGAAAUUGUACUUAGUGGUAAAUACAUUGAAUCUAGUUUAUAAGCGUAAUUCAACACAAAAUAGUUACAUAAUCUAUAAAUAUAGAAUUUCCAAAAAAUAAGAUUCACCUGGGGAAGAUCUUAUAAGAUGGAUGCAUGGUACCUGAGCACAGGUAACCAGCUAUGUGGCAGAGUGUAGGCUAGAAUAAAUGGGAUAUAAUCUAGUUAAGAGAUGAGCCUACCUGUAUGGUCAAGGUAUUUGUAAAUUUAUUUUGAGUCUGAGUCUUAUAACUGGGAGCAUGGGGCUGGAAGGAAGAACUGGACCAAACUUCUGUGAUGCUGUUAUGAACCCCGAAAACUAAAUGUAAAAAUUAAUGGGAGUGUCUGCAGACCCACGGCCUCCUUCUGUAUGUCUGCCCACUGUCUGGAGAGGAAUAACUGAUAAAAUAAGUGUUUAGUCAUAGUCUGACCUUAAGAAAAAUGUUAAAAAUAAUAAAACUCCUGUCUCUUUGUGGCCUAUGUAAAAUGCUUAAGAUUUAGCUGACUUCAGACUCACCAGAAGAGGGCAUCAGAUCUCAUGAUGUGUGGUUGUGAGCAACCAUGUGAUUGCUGAAAUUUGAACUCAGGAUCUUAGGAAGAGCAGUCUUGCCCACUGAACCAUCUCACCAGUCCCAAUGCUUAAGUUUUUAAUAUAAAAAUAAGCUUUUAACUAUUUCUAUCUUAGAAUAACCUUGACUUUAGUACAAAACUACCAUCUAAAAUCCUUUCUCAUGGGAAAGCUUUUGAAAAUUUAAUCAUUAUUAGAUAUAUACACUAUAUAACUUUUAUAUGCAUUAUCUUGAUUAAAAUAUUUUAAAUUAUG